GGUCAUGAGCAUCAGCGACAAGCCCCGGCUCGCUGAUCGGCAACCCUCCUCCGCGGUGGGGUGCUCCGGGUGAUGACCUGGUCGCGGCGGACUUCGUGUUCGCCCGCGGCAAGCGCGGGUC
Molecule: non-coding RNA, 121 nt
Filed under: Gordonia malaquae
Lineage: Bacteria; Bacillati; Actinomycetota; Actinomycetes; Mycobacteriales; Gordoniaceae
Also listed under: 1 other name
Description: SAM-IV sequence
Rfam family: SAM (S-adenosyl methionine) riboswitch aptamer
About the family: SAM-IV is a mRNA element that regulates gene expression via direct sensing of S-adenosylmethionine (SAM or AdoMet). SAM-IV riboswitches share conserved nucleotide positions with the previously described SAM-I riboswitches sequence analysis and molecular recognition experiments suggest that SAM-I and SAM-IV riboswitches share similar ligand binding sites, but have different scaffolds.
Source: RNAcentral